This 443-nucleotide ribosomal RNA is filed under the name uncultured bacterium. RNAcentral's name for it is "partial 16S ribosomal RNA". It matches the Rfam family "Bacterial small subunit ribosomal RNA", at positions 338 to 795 of the family's 1533-position model. The record is from RNAcentral.
CCUACGGGAGGCAGCAGUGGGGGAUAUUCGACAAUGGGGGGAACCCUGAUCCAGCGACGCCGCGUGAGUGAAGAAGUAUUUCGGUUUGUAAAGCUCUGUCAGCAGGGAAGAAAGAAAUGACGGUACCUGAGCAAGAAGCCCCGGCUAACUACGUGCCAGCAGCCGCGGUAAUACGGAGGGAGCAAGCGUUAUCCGGCAUUACUGGGUGGAAAGGGAGCGUAGUCGGUUAAGUAAGUCUGGAGUGAAAGGCCGGGGCCCAAACCCGAGACUGCUCUGGAAACUAUUGAACUUGAGUGCAGGAGAGGUAAGCGGAAUUCCUAGUGUAGCGGUGAAAUGCGUAGAUAUUAGGAGGAACACCAGUGGCGAAGGCGGCUUACUGGACUGUAACUGACGUUGAGGCUCGAAAGCGUGGGGAGCAAACAGGAUUAGAUACCCGAGUAGUC